UGCGGAUGGAGAGGGUUGACGGAGGAGCGGCGAUGGGGGCGCGUGGGUCGCCGGCGGGGAUGCUGGGCAUGGAAAUGAACCACCUCGUCCACCAGCCGCAGCCUCAGAUCCACGCCGCCUCCGCGUUCCAGCAGCAGGCGGAGCACCUCCACCACGGCAACGGCGGUGGCGGCGGCUUCCAGGUCCAGCACCACCAGCACCAGGCCAUGCCGGUGAGGCAGCAGCACUCGCAGCCGUCGUACGCGGCUUACGUGGCGCCGCCUUCGAGGGCGGUCAAGGCGCAUGAAGAGGAGGAGAUGGGCAACGGCGUCGGGAAUGGCGGCGGCGUCGUGCAGCAGCCGGGGGCGGGAGCGGGGGCGGCGGCGUGCCUGUGGACGCGGAUGAAGUGGACGGAUGCGAUGGUGCGUCUGCUCAUCGCGCUGGUGUACAACGCCGGGGACGACGUGGAGGGCGUGUCUGCAGGGGGCAAGGCGGCGGCGUCGCACCCGCACGGGAAGGCAUCGGCGUCUGCGGCGGCAGCGCACGGUGGGCACGGGCUGCAGGCGGCGGCGCAGCAGAAGAAGGGUAAGUGGAAGUCCGUGUCCAACGCGAUGCUGGAGAACGGCUUCUCGGUGUCGCCGCAGCAGUGCGAGGACAAGUUCAACGACCUCAACAAGCGCUACAAGCGAGUCGUCGACCUGCUCGGCCGCGGCAAGGCGUGCAGAGUGGUCGAGAACCCUGCGCUGCUCGACGCCAUGGCCGAGCUCACGGCCAAGGCCAAGGAGGAGGCGCGCAAGCUGCUCAGCUCCAAGCACCUCUUCUUCCGCGAGAUGUGCACCUACCACAACCCCCCCCGGCGCCGGCGCAGUAGCAUCGCACGGCGCCGAGGACGGCGCGGACUGCUUCCACCACCCGCGGCCGGCGACGGUGCCCGGCGCUGCCAACUCGUCUGCCGGCCCCCAGGCGGUGGCGAUGGUGAAUUCCUCGACACGCUCGGAGGGCGACAGCGAGGACGACGUCCUCAGCAGCAAAGAGGCUGAAGAGGAGGAGGAGGACGACUACGACCUGGACGACGUGGAGGAGAAGGCGCAGGGCACCAAGCGCCGCGGCGGCCGCGUCGACGACGGCAAUGGCUUCCACAACUACGGCGGGCACAACAAGCGCCGUCGUGGCGAGAGCAGCGCGACCACGGUCGGGGAAGACGGAGAAGA
Molecule: long non-coding RNA, 1190 nt
Filed under: Hordeum vulgare
Lineage: Eukaryota; Viridiplantae; Streptophyta; Magnoliopsida; Poales; Poaceae
Description: long non-coding RNA (HVUL_LNC006574)
Source: RNAcentral